UACGUAGGGGGCAAGCGUUGUCCGGAAUCAUUGGGCGUAAAGAGCGCGUAGGCGGUGUGUCGCGUCGGCCGUGAAAACCUGCAGCUUAACUGUGGGCUUGCGGUCGAUACGGGCAUCACUGGAGUUCGGCAGGGGAGACUGGAAUUCCUGGUGUAGCGGUGAAAUGCGCAGAUAUCAGGAGGAACACCGGUGGCGAAGGCGGGUCUCUGGGCCGAUACUGACGCUGAGGAGCGAAAGCGUGGGGAGCGAACAGG
This 254-nucleotide ribosomal RNA is filed under the name uncultured bacterium. RNAcentral describes it as "partial 16S ribosomal RNA". It matches the Rfam family "Bacterial small subunit ribosomal RNA", at positions 524 to 776 of the family's 1533-position model. The record is from RNAcentral.